UACGUAGGGGGCAAGCGUUGUCCGGAAUCAUUGGGCGUAAAGCGCGUGUAGGCGGUUCGAUAAGUCUGCUGUGAAAGUCCAGGGCUCAACCCUGGGAUGCCGGUGGAUACUGUCGGACUAGAGUACGGAAGAGGCGAGUGGAAUUCCCGGUGUAGCGGUGAAAUGCGCAGAUAUCGGGAGGAACACCAAUUGCGAAGGCAGCUCGCUGGGACGUUACUGACGCUGAGACGCGAAAGCGUGGGGAGCAAACAGG
Molecule: ribosomal RNA, 253 nt
Filed under: uncultured bacterium
Lineage: Bacteria
Description: partial 16S ribosomal RNA
Rfam family: Bacterial small subunit ribosomal RNA
Source: RNAcentral